AUUGAACGCUGGCGGCAUGCCUUACACAUGCAAGUCGAACGGUAACGGGUCCUUCGGGAUGCCGACGAGUGGCGAACGGGUGAGUAAUAUAUCGGAACGUGCCCAGUAGUGGGGAUAACUGCUCGAAAGAGCAGCUAAUACCGCAUACGACCUGAGGGUGAAAGGGGGGGAUCGCAAGACCUCUCGCUAUUGGAGCGGGCGAUAUCAGAUUAGCUAGUUGGUGGGGUAAAGGCCUACCAAGGCAACGAUCUGUAGUUGGUCUGAGAGGACGACCAGCCACACUGGGACUGAGACACGGCCCAGACUCCUACGGGAGGCAGCAGUGGGGAAUUUUGGACAAUGGGCGCAAGCCUGAUCCAGCAAUGCCGCGUGCAGGAAGAAGGCCUUCGGGUUGUAAACUGCUUUUGUCAGGGAAGAAAUCUUCUGGGCUAAUACCCCGGGAGGAUGACGGUACCUGAAGAAUAAGCACCGGCUAACUACGUGCCAGCAGCCGCAGUAA
RNAcentral lists this ribosomal RNA (499 nucleotides) under uncultured bacterium. RNAcentral describes it as "partial 16S ribosomal RNA". It matches the Rfam family "Bacterial small subunit ribosomal RNA", at positions 30 to 523 of the family's 1533-position model. The record is from RNAcentral.